GAUGAACGCUGGCGGCGUGCCUAAUACAUGCAAGUCGAGCGAACGGACGAGAAGCUUGCUUUUCUGAUGUUAGCGGCGGACGGGUGAGUAACACGUGGAUAACCUACCUAUAAGACUGGGAUAACUUCGGGAAACCGGAGCUAAUACCGGAUAAUAUUUUGAACCGCAUGGUUCAAAAGUGAAAGACGGUCUUGCUGUCACUUAUAGAUGGAUCCGCGCUGCAUUAGCUAGUUGGUAAGGUAACGGCUUACCAAGGCAACGAUGCAUAGCCGACCUGAGAGGGUGAUCGGCCACACUGGAACUGCGACACGGUCCAGACUCCUACGGGAGGCAGCAGUAGGGAAUCUUCCGCAAUGGGCGAAAGCCUGACGGAGCACCGCCGCGUGAGUGAUGAAGGUCUUCGGAUCGUAAAACUCUGUUAUUAGGGAAGAACAUAUGUGUAAGUAACUGUGCACAUCUUGACGGUACCUAAUCAGAAAGCCACGGCUAACUACGUG
RNAcentral lists this ribosomal RNA (497 nucleotides) under uncultured bacterium. RNAcentral describes it as "partial 16S ribosomal RNA". It matches the Rfam family "Bacterial small subunit ribosomal RNA", at positions 28 to 507 of the family's 1533-position model. The record is from RNAcentral.